UACAUAUAAAAUGAUAUGCUCUAGGACAUACUACUAACACUUUCAUCAAUGAAUUCUAUUAGCUCAAAAACAUAAUAAAUUCAAUUCCAGAAUAGGGAAUAUUGUUGAGGCAUCUAAACCAAAGUAGGUUGUUCUCAGCUGCUUGGUGAGCUGGACAUUCUUCUCAGAUUGCUUUAUCAUCUAUCUGUAUUAUUAAUGGCAUUUCUUAGUUCCAUUUCUAAGAAUAUAAAUAAUGAAGGAAACUUUUAUCUCCUAAAAGGGUGCUAACCUGUCACAAUGAACUCUCUCCUUCCUCCCCUCCCCAUAGGAUGGAAAUAAUAGAAAGAAAAACAAUAUGAUUAUUU
This 344-nucleotide unclassified non-coding RNA is filed under the name Hevea brasiliensis (rubber tree). Lineage: Eukaryota; Viridiplantae; Streptophyta; Magnoliopsida; Malpighiales; Euphorbiaceae. The record is from RNAcentral.